GCCGCCGCGGGGCUGCGGCCGAGGAGGCGAGGACCCAGACGCCCAGAGCUGGCGCUUCCUGUCUCUCUGCGCCAGCCUCGGCCUGCGGCGGGGUAGAGCGCCGGAAACGGCUUUAGCGGCUUUGGGAAUUGCGGGCGAAAGUUAAACGGAGAGAUCUUAGAGAUUUGCCCGCAAAUCGAAACAAAACUGCCCCUACUAACUCUGUGCCAACCUGUGCACCGUCUCACUGUGAACCCCUGAAAAUGCCUUUCUGGAGAAGAUUUUAAAUUAUUAGUAAUUAUUUGUGGAGACGGGAUCUCACUGUGAUUCCCAGGCUGGUCUCCAACUCCCAGCAUCAAAGUGAUCCUCCCGCCGUGGCCUCCCAUAUGUGCUGAGAUGACAGCACAAAGAAAAGUAAAAGCCAUGAAGCUCAGUAUCUCCCUCCUCACCACCACAAGACUAUUUACAGUAUGAGUCAAUUUCAGAACUUCUGAGAGCAUGAGGCAGACCCACACCACUUCCAGCUUUUGAGGAUCUGGACAUUUUCAACUUUGGUACUGAGGAAAUUAUUUAAGGGCAUUGUGAGUUGUUUGUUAAUUUUAAGUAAGUAAAGCAUUUACAUUAUUUAAAAA
RNAcentral lists this long non-coding RNA (611 nucleotides) under Homo sapiens (human). RNAcentral's name for it is "HSALNT0336096". Lineage: Eukaryota; Metazoa; Chordata; Mammalia; Primates; Hominidae. The record is from RNAcentral.